UGAGAGUUUGAUCCUGGCUCAGAUUGAACGCUGGCGGCAUGCCUUACACAUGCAAGUCGAACGGCAGCGCGGACUUCGGUCUGGCGGCGAGUGGCGAACGGGUGAGUAAUACAUCGGAACGUACCCUGUUGUGGGGGAUAACUAGUCGAAAGAUUAGCUAAUACCGCAUACGACCUGAGGGUGAAAGCGGGGGACCGAAAGGCCUCGCGCAGCAGGAGCGGCCGAUGUCUGAUUAGCUAGUUGGUGGGGUAAAGGCCCACCAAGGCGACGAUCAGUAGCUGGUCUGAGAGGACGAUCAGCCACACUGGGACUGAGACACGGCCCAGACUCCUACGGGAGGCAGCAGUGGGGAAUUUUGGACAAUGGGCGCAAGCCUGAUCCAGCCAUGCCGCGUGAGUGAUGAAGGCCCUAGGGUUGUAAAGCUCUUUCACCGGUGAAGAUAUUGACCGGGACCGGAGAAGAGGCCCAGGAUAACUUCGUGCCAGCAGCCGCGGGAAUACUACGGGCGCUAGCGUUGGUCGGAUUUACUGGGGCGAGAGCGCACGUGAGCUGACGAUUAAGACGCGUGUGAAAUCGGGGGGCUCAAACCCGGAACUGCCCUUGAUACUGGUACUCUUGAUUUCGAUAGAGGUGACUGGGAUUCCGAGUGUAGAAGUGAAAUUCAUAUAUAUUCGUAGGAACACCAUGGGCGAAGGCGGGUCAGAGUCUCGAUGCUGACGCUGACGUGCUGAAACGUGACGAGCAACAUGAUUAAAACCCUGGGUAGUCACGCAUAACUACGAUAGCUAUCCGUCGGCAAUAUACUGUUCUGGGGGCGCGAUUCAUUAUCUCCUCACCUGGGGAGACGGUCGA
This 852-nucleotide ribosomal RNA is filed under the name uncultured bacterium. RNAcentral describes it as "bacterial SSU rRNA". It matches the Rfam family "Bacterial small subunit ribosomal RNA", at positions 1 to 889 of the family's 1533-position model. The record is from RNAcentral.